AUGAGACAAUCAGUAACUUCUAUUCAUUCAAUUCAAUUUUCUCUUUCUUUAAGCACAUGUGGUACAUUUCUGUGUGCAUGUUUACAUGUGGUACAUUUCUGUGUGCAUGUUUUUGUGCGACGGAGGACAUCCGAGUCCUUUUGCUAUCUUGAAGCAAACAAUCUCCAUGUUUGUAUAGUCCUUAGCAAACAUCACAAAGUGAUCCUUCUGUUGUUGAGGUUUCCCUCCAGGGAUUUCUCCAUUAGAAGGCAGUCUCAUAUUCCAUCGCCCUUGAUAGCAACGUUGCUGCAUUUAAACUUUGGGAAUUGCCAUGAGACUAACAUAUGUUCUUGCCCAAAUUUUAUUUCAAAUAUGCUGCAAUGUGUCUUUAUUUAUUUAUGA
This 381-nucleotide ribosomal RNA is filed under the name Triticum aestivum (bread wheat). RNAcentral describes it as "partial small subunit ribosomal RNA". The record is from RNAcentral. Lineage: Eukaryota; Viridiplantae; Streptophyta; Magnoliopsida; Poales; Poaceae.